RNAcentral lists this long non-coding RNA (1353 nucleotides) under Ursus thibetanus thibetanus. Its description in RNAcentral is "lncRNA (ENSUTTG00000017129.1)". Lineage: Eukaryota; Metazoa; Chordata; Mammalia; Carnivora; Ursidae. The record is from RNAcentral.
UCCAGACUGCCCAGCGCACACUCUGCAGCGCAGACCUGCUCGCAAGUGGUGCGGAAGGCGGGCCCGCCCGCAGGUGAGUUGCACCUGGCAGUCGGGAGACGUGCUUCUCUGAAGUUGCAGCACAACGCGCCGCAGCCCGGAGGCCUCGAAAGAUCCUUGACGAACACACAAGGCUGGGGGUCGCCUUGCUCCGGAUUUGGGCGUGCGAGGGCCCUGGCGGGGUCGGGGGUGCCUCCGGAUCCCCACCGAAGCACUGCGGGAGACACCUGUGCGCUGGGGCGGGCUCACCAGCGGGCGGGGGAGCGGUCCGGCGUCGGGAGCCCCCCGGCCGCCCCGAGCGCACACACACACUCACCACCCCGCCCGCCCGGGGGCCGCUCGCCCGGAUCCCGCGGCCAGCCCGCGUUCCCCCGCCCGCCGCGCUCCAGGGCGGAGUUUCCUCCUCUGCUCAUUGUUCCCGGCCCAGUGCCCGCCCCGCCCCGCCCCGCCCGGCCCCUCUGCAGCCUCCCGCGCGCUCCUGGGGGAGGAGGAGGGGGCGGGGGCCGGCGCGGACGGGACGGGAGUCGCCGCAGCCGCCGGUCGGGCCCAGCCGCGCAGACACAGCCCGCGCCGCAGCCACCCGCCGCUCCUCCGCCGACUGGCGCCGCGCCUCAGCCCAGCUCUGCCGCAGCGGCCGCGAGGAGGGGCCGCCGGAGCGCGACUCGGGAACCCCGGGUCACCGCCCGGCCGCCGGAGCCACAGCCAGGCCUCCCUGAGCGGCGCCCACGCUCUCGCCGUUCAGACGCUCGGACCCGCAGCCACCUGCUCCAGGCCCGAGGCCAGGACACGAUGCGCUCCGCGCUCGCGCGCUCCGCGCUGGGGCUCUCCGCGCUGCUGCUGCUCCUGCUGCCGCUGCGGUCGCUCUCCGAGGGAGGUGAGUGGUGGCCCGUGCUCCGCCGCGACCCCACCGUGCCGUUGCGCCCCCGGCCGGGCCGCACCUCGUGGCGGGACCCCGAGCAGCUCCUGAGCACGCCUCGGGUUGGGGCCACACGCGGAGCCCUGACCUUGAACCAUACACUCCGCUUCCAAACCGGAGAACACUGCAGGUGCCGGGCCCGCGCGCGAGUUGUCCCCGGUCUCCAUGCCAAUGGAGUGGGAGGUGGAUUGUGGUGGGGCAAACAGUGGCGCGCCGGCCAUGAAUGGGUUUGCGGCCAAAGCGAGCGGGGACCUGGGGCACCGCGAGGCUCCACGCUUUUCCGGGACCCCCCAAGUCUGAUCACUCUUUUUCUCGGUGUCGGAGGGAAUGAGCAACGGUAUUGUGUAGUCGUUGAUUCCAGAAGCACGGCAGGCUGGAAGCUCCGAGGAAGUCCCUGA